UGUGAUCAGUCAGUAUCAAAUCUCAAACUUGAGAGUUUGAUCCUGGCUCAGAACGAACGCUGGCGGCAGGCCUAACACAUGCAAGUCGAACGCCCUAGCAAUAGGGAGUGGCAGACGGGUGAGUAACGCGUGGGAACGUACCCUUCGGUCUGGAAUAACCCAGGGAAACUUGGGCUAAUACCGGAUACGUGCGAGAGCAGAAAGAUUUAUCGCCGAAGGAUCGGCCCGCGUCCGAUUAGCUAGUUGGUGAGGUAAAAGCUCACCAAGGCGACGAUCGGUAGCUGGUCUGAGAGGAUGAUCAGCCACACUGGGACUGAGACACGGCCCAGACUCCUACGGGAGGCAGCAGUGGGGAA
Molecule: ribosomal RNA, 356 nt
Filed under: Methylocystis sp. MitZ-2018
Lineage: Bacteria; Pseudomonadati; Pseudomonadota; Alphaproteobacteria; Hyphomicrobiales; Methylocystaceae
Description: bacterial SSU rRNA
Rfam family: Bacterial small subunit ribosomal RNA
Source: RNAcentral